Molecule: ribosomal RNA, 253 nt
Filed under: uncultured bacterium
Lineage: Bacteria
Description: partial 16S ribosomal RNA
Rfam family: Bacterial small subunit ribosomal RNA
Source: RNAcentral
UACGUAGGGUGCAAGCGUUAUCCGGAAUUAUUGGGCGUAAAGAGCUCGUAGGCGGUUUGUCGCGUCUGCUGUGAAAACUGGAGGCUCAACCUCCAGCCUGCAGUGGGUACGGGCAGACUAGAGGUGCGGUAGGGGAGAUUGGAAUUCCUGGUGUAGCGGUGGAAUGCGCAGAUAUCAGGAGGACACCGAUGGCGAAGGCAGAUCUCUGGGCCGUAACUGACGCUGAGGAGCGAAAGCAUGGGGAGCGAACAGG